UUACGGCUAUAUCAUGUUGAAAUAGCAGUUCCCGUAUGAUCACCGAAGUUAAGCAAAUUCGAGCCAUGUCAGUACUUAGAUGUUUGAUGGGUUAGGAAAACCAGUGGCUGCAA
Non-coding RNA from Acanthosepion pharaonis, 113 nucleotides. NCBI's taxonomy places the organism in Eukaryota, Metazoa, Mollusca, Cephalopoda, Sepiida, Sepiidae. The record is from the annotation of a GenBank genome assembly.